Molecule: long non-coding RNA, 366 nt
Organism: Polyodon spathula (Mississippi paddlefish)
Lineage: Eukaryota; Metazoa; Chordata; Actinopteri; Acipenseriformes; Polyodontidae
Exons: 3
Source: RefSeq, a predicted model, not a curated record
AAUCACUCGGCAACAGCCGCAGUACAGAAAUGUUCAUUAAUGAUCAACAAAAUGAGAAUCUCAGAGAAAAUGGAGAUCGGGAAAGUAAAACAAGACAGUGUGUCUAAGCCACAACAUUCUGUUCCAAAAUUGACUAAUAGAAGGUCUUUUCUGAUCGCUCAGCCACAUCCCCUCAUAUACCUUCAGUCAUGCACUCCAAGGUAUGGCGAUGUCUUCUAGCAUUGUGGCUUUGCCCCCUUUUGGAUGGCCAACUUCCAACUGAGCCUGGAAUGAACUGUCAAACCAUCCAAUCCGGGGCACACUGUUCCUGUUAUACCGGGCCCUCACAGGUCAGGAGGGAGAUUGAAGACUCGGAUUCAUUCGCUG